RNAcentral lists this ribosomal RNA (253 nucleotides) under uncultured bacterium. RNAcentral's name for it is "partial 16S ribosomal RNA". It matches the Rfam family "Bacterial small subunit ribosomal RNA", at positions 524 to 776 of the family's 1533-position model. The record is from RNAcentral.
CACGUAGGGCGCAAGCGUUGUCCGGAAUUAUUGGGCGUAAAGAGCUCGUAGGCGGACUGUCACGUCCGCUGUGAAAAGCUAGGGCUUAACCCUGGCCUUGCAGUGGAUACGGGCAGACUAGAGGUAGGUAGGGGAGAAUGGAAUUCCCGGUGUAGCGGUGAAAUGCGCAGAUAUCUGGAGGAACACCGGUGGCGAAGGCGGCAUCCUGGACCGGCAUUGACGCUGAGGCGCGAAAGCUAGGGGAGCAAACGGG